Molecule: ribosomal RNA, 364 nt
Filed under: Streptomyces heliomycini
Lineage: Bacteria; Bacillati; Actinomycetota; Actinomycetes; Kitasatosporales; Streptomycetaceae
Description: bacterial SSU rRNA
Rfam family: Bacterial small subunit ribosomal RNA
Source: RNAcentral
GAACGGGUGAGUAACGUGGGCAAUCUGCCCUGCACUCUGGGACAACCCUGGAAACGGGUAAUACCGGAUACUACCCGCCUGGGCCACGGUUCGAAAGUCCGGCGGUGCAGGAUGAGCCCGCGGCCUAUCAGCUUGUUGGUGAGGUAAUGGCUCACCAGGCGACGACGGGUAGCCGGCCUGAGAGGGCGACCGGCCACACUGGGACUGAGACACGGCCCAGACUCCUACGGGAGGCAGCAGUGGGGAAUAUUGCACAAUGGGCGAAAGCCUGAUGCAGCGACGCCGCGUGAGGGAUGACGGCCUUCGGGUUGUAAACCUCUUUCAGCAGGGAAGAAGGACGGUACCUGCAGAAGAAGCGCCGGCU